AGUGAACGCUGGCGGUAGGCCUAACACAUGCAAGUCGAACGGCAGCACAGUAAGAGCUUGCUCUUACGGGUGGCGAGUGGCGGACGGGUGAGGAAUACAUUGGAAUCUACUUUUUCGUGGGGGAUAACGUAGGGAAACUUACGCUAAUACCGCAUACGACCUACGGGUGAAAGCAGGGGAUCUUCGGACCUUGCGCGAUUGAAUGAGCCGAUGUCGUAUUAGCUAGUUGGCGGGGUAAAGGCCCACCAAGGCGACGAUCCGUAGCUGGUCUGAGAGGAUGAUCAGCCACACUGGAACUGAGACACGGUCCAGACUCCUACGGGAGGCAGCAGUGGGGAAUAUUGGACAAUGGGCGCAAGCCUGAUCCAGCCAUACCGCGUGGGUGAAGAAGGCCUUCGGGUUGUAAAGCCCUUUUGUUGGGAAAGAAAAGCAGCAGGUUAAUACCCCGCUGUUCUGACGGUACCCAAAGAAUAAGCACCGGCUAACUUCGUG
This 492-nucleotide ribosomal RNA is filed under the name uncultured bacterium. RNAcentral describes it as "partial 16S ribosomal RNA". It matches the Rfam family "Bacterial small subunit ribosomal RNA", at positions 29 to 507 of the family's 1533-position model. The record is from RNAcentral.